AAAUUGACCCUAUCUUCUAAAUCUAAACAAAAAGCGAAAAAAAAAAAAAGUCGUAAAUUGACAAUGAAAAGAUAACAAUUAGGAAAGUAAAAAAUUGAGCUAAUCCUUAGCUGCGUUUCUCCACAUGAAAAUUUUGUCGGUAUUUCGAAUGACCACCAGUGUCAUCGAAUUCACCAGCUAAUCGACCUUCUGCAGGACUUCAUCUACCUUUAACCUAAGCUAAGUACUUCGACCCCUUCCUUAUUUUCUUCUAUCUUGUAGCUAGAUGGGUUGAGCUUCUAUCAAAGCUGAUACCACCAUCUGAGCUGCAAGGAAAGAAUUAAGUUAAGAGAUCCCUUCCUUAUUUUAAUGCAGAUUAUAAACUGAAUUUUUAAGUCGAAAUGUUCAAGAUAGAUAUGAUGUUCCUGUUGUUCGAAUAUCCAUCCCAAAAACAUCCCAAAUCUCACUGGAAUUACGUGGCAUAUUAUGUGGAAGUCGCUCCCAACAAUAGGUGACUUUUUAGCAUCUGAAAAUACAUCCUCUAUGUUACUAUGCAUUCCUAUUUUUCCAUGUUGUUGCUGCUCACCCUUUUGUGGCUAUUGUCCCUGACUAGCAAUACCAUCUGGAUUCUUUAUAUUUUUUGGACUUUGGGACUGCUAGAUACUGACAGGAAGUGUAUCUGGAGCUAUGGAUUUAUUCUGUAGAGUUCAUUGAAAAUUCAAGAAAGAAGCACUGGAAAGCAGUCAAAUGGAUAUUGAGGUACCUAAAAGAAACCUUAGGAAGAGCUAUAUCAUGGCAGUUGAAGUUACAAAUGUAUGUCUCACUAUCUACAACUGAAGCUAAGUAUUUGCGGCUAUUGAAGCUAGCAAGGAAAUGAUAUGGCUCAAGCGAUUCCUUCAAGAAUUUGGAUUGCACCAAAUGGAGUAUGUUAUUUAUUGUGACAGUCAAAGUGCAAUAGACUUGAGAAAGAACUACGUGUAUCACGCAAGAAAAAAACAUAUUUAUGUGAGGUACCAUUGAAUUCCUGAACAAGUGAAAAAUGAAUCGUUCCAUGUUAAGAAGAUUUACGGGAGUGAAAAUUCUGCGGAUAUACUAA
Long non-coding RNA from Capsicum annuum, 1075 nucleotides. RefSeq lists it as uncharacterized. The record is from RefSeq and is a predicted model, not a curated record. Lineage: Eukaryota; Viridiplantae; Streptophyta; Magnoliopsida; Solanales; Solanaceae. The transcript is spliced from 5 exons.